Molecule: ribosomal RNA, 495 nt
Filed under: uncultured bacterium
Lineage: Bacteria
Description: partial 16S ribosomal RNA
Rfam family: Bacterial small subunit ribosomal RNA
Source: RNAcentral
GACGAACGCUGGCGGCGUGCCUAAUACAUGCAAGUAGAACGCUGAAGGAGGAGCUUGCUUCUCUGGAUGAGUUGCGAACGGGUGAGUAACGCGUAGGUAACCUGCCUGGUAGCGGGGGAUAACUAUUGGAAACGAUAGCUAAUACCGCAUAAGAGUAGAUGUUGCAUGACAUUUGCUUAAAAGGUGCAAUUGCAUCACUACCAGAUGGACCUGCGUUGUAUUAGCUAGUUGGUGGGGUAACGGCUCACCACGGUGACGAUACAUAGCCGACCUGAGAGGGUGAGCUGCCACACUGGGACUGAGACACGGCCCAGACUCCUACGGGAGGCAGCAGUAGGGAAACUUCGGCAAUGGACGGAAGUCUGACCGAGCAACGCCGCGUGAGUGAAGAAGGUGUUCGGAUCGUAAAGCUCUGUUGUAAGAGAAGAACGAGUGUGAGAGUGGAAAGUUCACACUGUGACGGUAUCUUACCAGAAAGGGACGGCUAACUACGUG